AUCUCACCAGGUCAUAAUGGUAGGAAAGCAUCAUGGUCGUGAUUUUUCUUUUUCUCUCUCUAAGGAAUUAUCAGGGACCGAUUCCCCUCACUUCAUUCUGGAUGGUAUCAGCAAUUUUGAUAUUCAACAAGGACUAGCAGUUUUGGCCAUGUGGGCAGUGGGUGGAUGUGGUGGUGGAGGACCGUCUCCUUGUGAGCUCAAUCAGUGGAAAAUACCUGUUUGUUUAUCCCCAUUGAGGGAGCAGCGAAUUUUGGCCCUGUUUGCUUAAGAAGGCUUAUGCCAAGUAAGCACUUUCUGGAACUUCCAGCUUCCUCUUCUCUCCACGUUCCUGGAUGAAUAUGCUUACCCAGCUGCACCACUUGUGACAUGCCAGACCUCAUUAAUCCUUAGGCAAACCUGUUGUCUGUAGGACACGCCUUGGGGGAGGGAGGGAAUAAGGCAUUGAAAAGGGUGGAUUUUCUGACUCUGUAUCAGCUGCAGAAUGCCCUUUGGCAUCAGAGGGACUGAGCUUCCAUGCCCAGUAGGUGUUCAGGUAUUAACUUCCUAUGUUUACAAUUCACUUAUUACUUUAUUUUAUCCAUAGUCACAGAGCUAAUAAGAGUCAAAGGCAGAACCUGAACCCAGUACUUCUUGUCUCCUCAUCUAGCACUCUAACCACAUGACACAUUGUAUAAUGAGGAACUGGUAAGACACUGCUUUAUCAGACCCCAAACUCACUUCUGAGCCUCUGAAGUGACUGCUUUUAAGUAUUUAUUUGUUUACUUAUCCAUUCAUUUAUGUCUUCAUUCAGUUAUUUGUUCAUUCACUCAUUCAUUUAUUUGCUUAUUUAUUUAGUGGUGGGGGAUCUCUCUUUCUCAACCCGAGCUGGAAAUACAAUGGCCACUCUUGAUCCAACUGGAAUCUUUGAACUAUUAUGUUUUAACUUAACCUAGUUUGUCCCCUUUUAGGCAACCUGAUGGUCCACUUCCACUCUCAACCCUAUCUCCAUACCUUCCUAGGGGCCCAUAAUAUUGGUAUCCAGAAUUAGAGUGGACACCUGACUUUAGCCCUCCUUCUUGUAUUUCAGAAUUCAAGUCAUUCACCAGUUUCAGCCUCCCCCAGCAGCAGGGAUUACAGGCAGGCAUCGCACUUCCAGAAAGUUUGUUUUUAACUGUCCUUUGAACCAGCUGGUGAGAAAUAUCUAAGAAUUC
Molecule: long non-coding RNA, 1190 nt
Filed under: Phascolarctos cinereus (koala)
Lineage: Eukaryota; Metazoa; Chordata; Mammalia; Diprotodontia; Phascolarctidae
Description: lncRNA (ENSPCIG00000008819.2)
Source: RNAcentral